This 253-nucleotide ribosomal RNA is filed under the name uncultured bacterium. Its description in RNAcentral is "partial 16S ribosomal RNA". It matches the Rfam family "Bacterial small subunit ribosomal RNA", at positions 524 to 776 of the family's 1533-position model. The record is from RNAcentral.
UACGGAGGGUGCGAGCGUUGUCCGGAAUCACUGGGCGUAAAGGGCGCGUAGGCGGCCUGAUAAGUAGGGGGUGAAAUCCUGAGGCCUAACCUCAGGGCUGCCUUCUAAACUGUCAGGCUCGAGCACAGUAGAGGCAGGUGGAAUUCCCGGUGUAGCGGUGGAAUGCGUAGAGAUCGGGAAGAACAUCAGUGGCGAAGGCGGCCUGCUGGGCUGUUGCUGACGCUGAGGCGCGACAGCGUGGGGGGCAAACAGG